This 1670-nucleotide ribosomal RNA is filed under the name Discoplastis spathirhyncha. RNAcentral describes it as "partial large subunit ribosomal RNA". It matches the Rfam family "Bacterial large subunit ribosomal RNA", at positions 1051 to 2759 of the family's 2925-position model. Lineage: Eukaryota; Euglenozoa; Euglenophyceae; Euglenales; Phacaceae. The record is from RNAcentral.
AAUAUUUGCUAAGUGGUAAAGGAUGUAAAGGUACCUUGACAACCAGGAGGUUUGCUUAGAAGCAGCAAUCCUUUAAAAAGUGCGUAAUAGCUUACUGGUCAAGUGCAUUUGCGCCGAAAAUGAACGGGACUAAGCACUUUGCCGAAGCUGUGGGAUUAAUUAUCGGUAGAAGAGCGUUCUGUUUUAGGUAGAAGCAAUAGUGAAAACAAUUGUGGAUUAAGCAGAAGUGAGAAUGUCGGCUUAAGUAACGAAAACAUUGGUGGAAAUCCAAUGCUCCGAAAACCUAAGGAUUCCUCCGCAAGGUUCGUCCACGGAGGGUUAGUCAGGAUCUAAAAUGAGGUCUAACGACGUAAUUGAUGGAAAACAGGUUAAUACUCCUGUACUCUAUUUGUUUAAUUACGCUAAAGAGACGGAGUAAAAAAGCUAGGUUAACCAAGUUUUGGGAAUUAUUUGGUUUAUUUGAUUAUUGAAUGAAUAAUGGUGCUACGGUGCUACAAUUAACCAGGGCAUACUUCCAAGAAAAUCUUUUGUAUUAAUAUAUAAUAGCAAAUAGACCUGUACCUUAAACUGACACAGGUAGGUUAGUAGAGAAUACUAAGGAGCGCGAGAUAACUCUUUCUAAGGAACUCGGCAAAAUAACUCUGUAACUUCGGGAGAAAGAGUGCCUUGUUAUCAAUUUAAUAAGGUCGCAGUAACCAGGCCCAGGCGACUGUUUACCAAAAACACAGGUCUCCGCUAAGUCGAAAGACAAUGUAUGGGGGCUGACGCCUGCCCAGUGCCGGAAGGUUAAAGAAAUUGGUUAGCUUUUGCGAAGCUAGUGACUGAAGCCCUGGUGAACGGCAGCCGUAACUAUAACGGUUCUAAGGUAGCGAAAUUCCUUGUCAGGUAAGUUCUGACCCGCACGAAAGGCGUAACGAUCUGGGUACUGUCUCGGAAAGAGACUCGGUGAAAUAGAAUUGACUGUGAAGAUGCGGUCUACUUGCACUUGGACAGAAAGACCCUAUGAAGCUUUACUGUAAUUUGAAAUUGGUUUUGGGUUUCUCCUGCGCAGUAUAGGUGGAAGGCAGAGAUUCUCUCUUUCGGGAGACGAGGAGCCAUAAGUGAGAUACCACUCUGGAGGAAUUAGAAAUCUAAUUGUAUUUCUUUCAACAAGAUACUUGACAGUUUCAGAUGGGCAGUUUUACUGGGGCGGUAGCCUCCUAAAAAGUAACGGAGGCGUACAAAGGUUUUCUCAGGCUGGACGGAAAUUAGUUUCAGAGUGUAAAGGCAUAAGAAAGCUUAACUGUUAGACUUACAAGUCGAUCAGGGACGAAAGUCGGUCUUAGUGAUCCGACGGUUCUGGGUGGAAAGGCCGUCGCUCAACGGAUAAAAGUUACUCUAGGGAUAACAGGCUGAUCUCCCCCAAGAGUUCACAUCGACGGGGAGGUUUGGCACCUCGAUGUCGGCUCAUCGCAACCUGGGGCGGUAGUACGUCCCAAGGGUUGGGCUGUUCGCCCAUUAAAGCGGUACGUGAGCUGGGUUCAGAACGUCGAGAGACAGUUCGGUCCAUAUCCGGUGUAAGCGUUAGAGUAUUGAAAGGAUCUUUCCUUAGUACGAGAGGACCGGGAAAGACACACCACUGAUGUGCCAGUUCUUAUUCCCAUAGGAUAUGCUGGGUAGUCAAGUGUGGA